GACGAACGCUGGCGGCGUGCUUAACACAUGCAAGUCGAACGAAGCUUGAUUACGGAUUCUUCGGGUGUAGUUUGCUAUGACUGAAGUGCGGACUGGUUAGUCACGCGUGAGGAGCCGGCCCUUUAUAGGGGACUAUCGUUAGGAAACGAUAGGUAAUACCGCAUAAUGUAUUUUGACCGCAUGAUCGAAAUACAACACAUUUAUCGCUGAAGGCUGGACUGUCGUCUGAUUAGGUGGUUGGGGGGGUAACGGCCUACCAAGCCGACGACCAGUAGCCGGACUGAGAGGUUGAGCGGCCACAUUGGGACUGAGACACGGCACAGACUCCUACGGGAGGCAGGAGUGGGGAAUAUUGCAAAAUGGGCGCAAGCAUGAUGGAGCAACGCUGCGUGAAGGAAGACGUUUGUCGGAUUGUAAUCUUCUGUUCUUAGUGAAGAAUAAUGACGGUAGCUAAGGAGAAAGCCACGGCUAACUACGUG
This 479-nucleotide ribosomal RNA is filed under the name uncultured bacterium. Its description in RNAcentral is "partial 16S ribosomal RNA". It matches the Rfam family "Bacterial small subunit ribosomal RNA", at positions 28 to 507 of the family's 1533-position model. The record is from RNAcentral.